This 309-nucleotide ribosomal RNA is filed under the name Erythrobacter sp. OB10. RNAcentral describes it as "bacterial SSU rRNA". It matches the Rfam family "Bacterial small subunit ribosomal RNA", at positions 373 to 699 of the family's 1533-position model. The record is from RNAcentral. Lineage: Bacteria; Pseudomonadati; Pseudomonadota; Alphaproteobacteria; Sphingomonadales; Erythrobacteraceae.
GGGCGAAAGCCUGAUCCAGCAAUGCCGCGUGAGUGAUGAAGGCCUUAGGGUUGUAAAGCUCUUUUACCAGGGAUGAUAAUGACAGUACCUGGAGAAUAAGCUCCGGCUAACUCCGUGCCAGCAGCCGCGGUAAUACGGAGGGAGCUAGCGUUGUUCGGAAUUACUGGGCGUAAAGAGAACGUAGGCGGCAUACCAAGUCAGGGGUGAAAUCCCGGGGCUCAACCCCGGAACUGCCCUUGAAACUGGUAAGCUAGAAUUCUGGAGAGGUCAGUGGAAUUCCGAGUGUAGAGGUGAAAUUCGUAGAUAUUC